CUUCAGUGACUUGCCUGUAUCUGGCACCGAUGUCCCUCGGCGCUGGUUCAGGGUCCGCCCACGCUCCUCCCCGCCGAGAUCAUCCGACGGUGGAGACCGAUUGCGUAUGCGGCAUUAGACCUCCCCAUAGGAAAGAAUUUAAAAAUGCUUUCAAAUGGGGAUUGCAGCGACGCUGGAGGUCCUCACAUAGCACACGAAAUGUGUGCUAUAAACCUGGAAGUGCCCUCUAGUGGCUGUCUAAU
Pelobates cultripes (western spadefoot toad) is the source of this 242-nucleotide non-coding RNA. The record is from the annotation of a GenBank genome assembly. Lineage: Eukaryota; Metazoa; Chordata; Amphibia; Anura; Pelobatidae.